This is a long non-coding RNA of Sycon ciliatum, 723 nucleotides long. RefSeq lists it as uncharacterized. Lineage: Eukaryota; Metazoa; Porifera; Calcarea; Leucosolenida; Sycettidae. The record is from RefSeq and is a predicted model, not a curated record. The transcript is spliced from 3 exons.
UUCUUUGCUGUUUUCAGUGAGUGUUUUGUUUUCUCUUUGUCCUUUAUCUCGACGAUGUUGUCGUGCUCAUUACCUUACUGAGACGUCUCUUGUGACUGUAGCCAGUGUCACGGAGGAUUUUAUUGGCGUGACAAGGUAGAUCGCCGAGAUCGAGCGUGAAAAACGCUCUGCAUUAGUAGCUCCUGUAGAAUGUUUUCUGGGUUGGCGUAUCCAUGGUCAACAAAACCAAGGUGCAAGACAGCAUGAGAGAUCGUGUAAACGAUGUGAACUCCAAAAGAUAAUCUGGCCAAAUUUAUUGUAACUAGAGAGUGCAAUCGUGCUUGGGGCCCAUCCCAAUGUCAUCACAUGGCUGUGGUGACUAGUCUAUAUCUGGGAGAAUUUUUCCUCGACUGAUACGGAGUGCAGGUGGAUCGAUUAUGAGAAAUGCGAACAUGUGAAGUUCAAGGCUAGAUGCACUUCACAUUCGGCGGGCGAUCUCAGCGUCUGGGACCUGAUGAAGUCUUGGUUGAAUGAUUAUUCAAGCCUGAUACUACUCGACACACCAAUGUUCAUGUCUAUGUAAUUUUUUCAGAGCUGCACUAUUUACGUGUUGAUGCUUACUUCGGUGUUAGCGUGUUUCCCCCGGAUUGUUUCUAUCAUCAUGAUCGUGUGUUCUUGGGCUGAGCGAGCACAUGCACAAGUGUGCAGCUAUAACCCUGUGUAUCUGUGGUUACACUUUGUUCU